GCACCGGCUAACUCCGUGCCAGCAGCCGCGGUAAUACGGAGGGUGCGAGCGUUAAUCGGAAUUACUGGGCGUAAAGCGCAUGCAGGUGGUUUGUUAAGUCAGAUGUGAAAGCCCGGGGCUCAACCUCGGAACUGCAUUUGAAACUGGCAGACUAGAGUACUGUAGAGGGGGGUAGAAUUUCAGGUGUAGCGGUGAAAUGCGUAGAGAUCUGAAGGAAUACCGGUGGCGAAGGCGGCCCCCUGGACAGAUACUGACACUCAGAUGCGAAAGCGUGGGGAGCAAACAGGAUUAGAUACCCUGGUAGUCCACGCUGUAAACGAUGUCUACUUGGAGGUUGUGGCCUUGAGCCGUGGCUUUCGGAGCUAACGCGUUAAGUAGACCGCCUGGGGAGUACGGUCGCAAGAUUAAAACUCAAAUGAAUUGACGGGGGCCCGCACAAGCGGUGGAGCAUGUGGUUUAAUUCGAUGCAACGCGAAGAACCUUAC
Molecule: ribosomal RNA, 485 nt
Filed under: Vibrio vulnificus
Lineage: Bacteria; Pseudomonadati; Pseudomonadota; Gammaproteobacteria; Vibrionales; Vibrionaceae
Description: bacterial SSU rRNA
Rfam family: Bacterial small subunit ribosomal RNA
Source: RNAcentral